Molecule: transfer RNA, 62 nt
Filed under: Ectemnonotum fruhstorferi
Lineage: Eukaryota; Metazoa; Arthropoda; Insecta; Hemiptera; Cercopidae
Description: tRNA-Thr
Rfam family: tRNA
About the family: Transfer RNA (tRNA) molecules are approximately 80 nucleotides in length.
Source: RNAcentral
GUUUAUAUAGUUUAACAAAAACAAUGGUCUUGUAAAUCAUAAUUAGAUUUUUCUUAUAAACU